This 465-nucleotide ribosomal RNA is filed under the name uncultured bacterium. Its description in RNAcentral is "partial 16S ribosomal RNA". It matches the Rfam family "Bacterial small subunit ribosomal RNA", at positions 338 to 795 of the family's 1533-position model. The record is from RNAcentral.
CCUACGGGUGGCAGCAGUCGGGAAUUUUCCACAAUGGACGAAAGCCUGAUGGAGCCACGCCGCGUGGGUGAAGAAGGUCUUCGGAUCGUAAAACCCUGUUGUUAGAGAAGAAAGUGCGUGCGAGUAACUGUUCACGUUUCGGCGGUAUCUAACCAGACAGCGCCGGCUAACUACGUGCCAGCAGCCGCGGUAAUACGUCGGUGGCAAGCGUUAUCCGGAUUUAUUGGGCGUAAAGGGAACGCAGGCGGUCUUUUAAGUCUGAUGUGAAAGCCUUCGGCUUAACCGGAGGAGUGCAUUGGAAACUGGGAGACUUGAGUGCAGAAGAGGAGAGGGGAAUUCCAUGUGUAGCGGUGAAAUGCGUAGAUAUAUGGAAGAACACCAGUGGCGAAAGCGGCUCUCUGGGCUGUAACUGACGCUGAGGUUCGAAAGCGUGGGUAGCAAACAGGAUUAGAUACCCCAGUAGUC